GAUAUAGUUGUCAUAUUCACAAGCCUGUUAAAAAAUGCAUGGGAGGGGUUGUGGGAGCUGGUGAGUCAGACAACAGCGAGUGAGGCAGUGAAUUAAGGCAUUAAUUACCUGUACUCUUUCACCGUUCACGGGCCUCUCGAUUGGUUUCGCUUUGUCUCCCAUGCAUGCAUGCCACCCUCUGCUGGCUGCUGCUGCUGCUGCUUGCUUGUGGCCCGCAGGUCACAUGCUCCGACAUUGCUGCAAAUUCUGUUUUAUUCUUUACCGUUCUUUUCUACUUCUAGAUUCAGCAAAAAAUUCCGUUCAGAAUGCCCUUGAUUUCGUACGCUUCCAUAUGUAUGCAUGCUAGCUCACGGUUCCAUAGUACUGUUAUGAUCACAAGGCUAGCUGUUUAAUUAUUGCAGUUUUCACGUUAGUCUUGCACGGCCUCUUGCCUGAUCUCUUCAUCACAGUACUGAGGCAGGUUUACAUGCAUCUAUAUUAUUUUAGUGCUUUAUAAUUCCUUAAUUUGCUUCUUUCAUUGAUACGAUCGAUCUCUGUUCCUUUUUCCACACAACGUAAGGUACGGUUGAACUUUAAACGAUUUGAUUAGGAACGUACUGACAGUAUUAUUGAGUAAGUUCCACGUCCAGAUCGAAUAGUGCUCCACAUGCAUCAAUGGAUCUACGAUAAGUAUCGCUUUUUGCAACCAAAAAAAAGGCUCGAUCGGUUUUGUUUUGUUAUUUUCAUUUUCUGAGCUGCUUUGUCACCUUUUCAUUGUUCCCAUGCUUCUUAAUAUAUCUGUUUAGAUUCGGACAUAUGCAGAUACCAUAAAACUUAAUUUUCAAGAUUAUUGGACCUACGGACCAUGGCUUCUUCUACCCUAAUUAACCAUGAUUUACUUCCGUAUUGAAACUUAUCAUUUUGAACAGUACUACUGGGAUUUCGGGAUUCUACUCCAAUUUGCGCUUCUUUGUAAAUACACAGUAUUCGAUGUUAUCUUGCUGUCCAUAUCAUGUUCUUUUCAGUACCUAUUAGGACAGUAAAAGUCAGUUCUCUAUCAAUUAUGCCUGAAGUCAUUGAGACAGUAAAGAAUGCUGCGUAACUCGAUAUAACUUUGCAUAAAGCGGUCGGGAUCAGUGACAGAAUGAAUUUCCUUGAAGUACAUGAUCUACUAUCGAUACACGAGUCCGAAUCCAAGGAAAGACUAGGGAUUCUUGAUUUGUUGUCAUGGAGGACAGACCAAUAGAAGAUCAGAGCAGAUAAGCUGCCUUUUCCAACCAAGUUCGUGAGUGCUCGGUUCAUUCCCGUAAGCAACAAAAUGCCAAGCAUGUAGGACUGUCCUGGGUGUUAUUAAA
This is a long non-coding RNA of Juglans microcarpa x Juglans regia, 1334 nucleotides long. RefSeq lists it as uncharacterized. Lineage: Eukaryota; Viridiplantae; Streptophyta; Magnoliopsida; Fagales; Juglandaceae. The transcript has 2 exons. The record is from RefSeq and is a predicted model, not a curated record.